RNAcentral lists this ribosomal RNA (463 nucleotides) under uncultured bacterium. Its description in RNAcentral is "partial 16S ribosomal RNA". It matches the Rfam family "Bacterial small subunit ribosomal RNA", at positions 28 to 507 of the family's 1533-position model. The record is from RNAcentral.
GACGAACGCUGGCGGCACGCCUAACACAUGCAAGUCGAACGGACUUACAAGAGCUUGCUUUUUUAAGUUAGUGGCGGACGGGUGAGUAACACGUGAGCAACCUGCCUCUGAGAGGGGGAUAGCUUCUGGAAACGGAUGGUAAUACCCCAUAAAAUAUAAAUAUCGCAUGAUAGAUAUAUCAAAGAAAUUCGCUCAGAGAUGGGCUCGCGUCUGAUUAGAUAGUUGGUGAGGUAACGGCUCACCAAGUCGACGAUCAGUAGCCGGACUGAGAGGUUGAACGGCCACAUUGGGACUGAGACACGGCCCAGACUCCUACGGGAAGCAGCAGUGGGGAAUAUUGCACAAUGGAGGGAACUCUGAUGCAGCGAUGCCGCGUGGAGGAAGAAGGUUUUCGGAUUGUAAACUCCUUUUAUCAGGGACGAUAAUGACGGUACCUGAAGAAAAAGCUCCGGCUAACUACGUG